Molecule: ribosomal RNA, 469 nt
Filed under: uncultured bacterium
Lineage: Bacteria
Description: partial 16S ribosomal RNA
Rfam family: Bacterial small subunit ribosomal RNA
Source: RNAcentral
GAUGAACGCUGGCGGCGUGCUUAACACAUGCAAGUCGAACGGUGAACACGGAGCUUGCUCUGUGGGAUCAGUGGCGAACGGGUGAGUAACACGUGAGCAACCUGCCCCUGACUCUGGGAUAAGCGCUGGAAACGGCGUCUAAUACUGGAUAUGUGACGUGACCGCAUGGUCUGCGUUUGGAAAGAUUUUUCGGUUGGGGAUGGGCUCGCGGCCUAUCAGCUUGUUGGUGAGGUAAUGGCUCACCAAGGCGUCGACGGGUAGCCGGCCUGAGAGGGUGACCGGCCACACUGGGACUGAGACACGGCCCAGACUCCUACGGGAGGCAGCAGUGGGGAAUAUUGCACAAUGGGCGCAAGCCUGAUGCAGCAACGCCGCGUGAGGGAUGACGGCCUUCGGGUUGUAAACCUCUUUUAGCAGGGAAGAAGCGAAAGUGACGGUACCUGCUGAAAAAGCGCCGGCUAACUACGUG